Non-coding RNA from Caerostris darwini, 85 nucleotides. The record is from the annotation of a GenBank genome assembly. Lineage: Eukaryota; Metazoa; Arthropoda; Arachnida; Araneae; Araneidae.
GUUCUCGUUAGAUCACCGAAGUCAAGCAUCAUUGGGCGCGGUCAGUACUUGGGUGGGUGACCACCUGGGAACACCGCGUGCCGUU